Molecule: ribosomal RNA, 234 nt
Filed under: uncultured bacterium
Lineage: Bacteria
Description: partial 16S ribosomal RNA
Rfam family: Bacterial small subunit ribosomal RNA
Source: RNAcentral
CGUGGGUGAUCUGCCCUCGGGUGGGGAAUAACUCAGGGAAACCUGGGCUAAUUCCGCAUGAUAUUCUCGAUACUCAAGUAUUGAAAAUCAAAGCUGGGGACCCUUCGGGGCCCGGCGCCUGAGGAGGAGCCCGCGACCAAUUAGCUUGAUGGUGAGGUAACGGCUCACCAUGGCUACGAUUGGUAGCCGGCCUGAGAGGGCGGACGGUCACACUGGGACUGAGACACGGCCCAG